RNAcentral lists this ribosomal RNA (144 nucleotides) under uncultured bacterium. Its description in RNAcentral is "partial 16S ribosomal RNA". It matches the Rfam family "Bacterial small subunit ribosomal RNA", at positions 384 to 525 of the family's 1533-position model. The record is from RNAcentral.
UGACCCAGCAACGCCGCGUGGAGGAUGAAGGCCGUAAGGUUGUAAACUCCUGUUAGAGGAGAAGAACAGUACCGAUUGGAUCGGUAUUUGACUGUACCCUCAGAGAAAGCCCCGGCUAACUACGUGCCAGCAGCCGCGGUAAUA